Molecule: ribosomal RNA, 466 nt
Filed under: uncultured bacterium
Lineage: Bacteria
Description: partial 16S ribosomal RNA
Rfam family: Bacterial small subunit ribosomal RNA
Source: RNAcentral
GAUGAACGCUGGCGGCGUGCUUAACACAUGCAAGUCGAACGGAAAGGCCCAAGCUUGCUUGGGUACUCGAGUGGCGAACGGGUGAGUAACACGUGGGUGAUCUGCCCUGCACUUCGGGAUAAGCCUGGGAAACUGGGUCUAAUACCGGAUAGGACCACAUUUUGGAUGGUGUGGUGGAAAGUUUUUCGGUGUGGGAUGAGCUCGCGGCCUAUCAGCUUGUUGGUGGGGUAAUGGCCUACCAAGGCGUCGACGGGUAGCCGGCCUGAGAGGGUGUACGGCGACAUUGGGACUGAGAUACGGCACAGACGCCUACGGGAGGCAGCAGUGGGGAAUAUUGCACAAUGGGCGCAAGCCGGAUGCAGCGACGCCGCGUGGGGGAUGACGGCCUUCGGGUUGUAAACUCCUUUCGCUAGGGACGAAGCGUUAUGUGACGGUACCUGGAGAAGAAGCACCGGCUAACUACGUG